This 538-nucleotide ribosomal RNA is filed under the name uncultured bacterium. RNAcentral describes it as "bacterial SSU rRNA". It matches the Rfam family "Bacterial small subunit ribosomal RNA", at positions 767 to 1304 of the family's 1533-position model. The record is from RNAcentral.
AGCUAAUAGAUACCCGGGUAGUCCACGCCCUAAACGAUGUCUACUAGUUGUUGGUGGAGUAAAAUCCAUGAGUAAACGCAGCUAAACGCGUGAAGUAGACCGCCUGGGGAGUACGGUCGCAAGAUUAAAACUCAAAGGAAUUGACGGGGGCCCGCACAAGCGGUGGAUUAUGUGGAUUAAAUUCGAUGCAACGCGAAAAACCUUACCUGGCCUUGACAUGCCACUAACGAAGCAGAGAUGCAUUAGGUGCCCGUAAGGGAAAGUGGACACAGGUGCUGCAUGGCUGUCGUCAGCUCGCGUCGUGAGAUGUUGGGUUAAGUCCCGCAACGAGCGCAACCCUUGCCAUUAAUUGCCAUCAUUUAGUUGGGCACUUUAAUGGGACUGCCGGUGACAAACCGGAGGAAGGUGGGGAUGACGUCAAGUCCUCAUGGCCCUUAUGGCCAGGGCUUCACACGUAAUACAAUGGUCGGUACAGAGAGUUGCCAACCCGCGAGGGGGUAGCUAAUCUCAGAAAGCCGAUCGUAGUCCGGAUUGUUCU